RNAcentral lists this ribosomal RNA (253 nucleotides) under uncultured bacterium. Its description in RNAcentral is "partial 16S ribosomal RNA". It matches the Rfam family "Bacterial small subunit ribosomal RNA", at positions 524 to 776 of the family's 1533-position model. The record is from RNAcentral.
UACGGAGGGAGCUAGCGUUGUUCGGAAUUACUGGGCGUAAAGCGCGCGUAGGCGGUUACUCAAGUCAGAGGUGAAAGCCCGGGGCUCAACCCCGGAACUGCCUUUGAAACUAGGUAACUAGAAUCUUGGAGAGGUCAGUGGAAUUCCGAGUGUAGAGGUGAAAUUCGUAGAUAUUCGGAAGAACACCAGUGGCGAAGGCGACUGACUGGACAAGUAUUGACGCUGAGGUGCGAAAGCGUGGGGAGCAAACAGG